This 6208-nucleotide long non-coding RNA is filed under the name Elaeis guineensis (African oil palm). Its description in RNAcentral is "long non-coding RNA (EGUI_LNC068932)". The record is from RNAcentral. Lineage: Eukaryota; Viridiplantae; Streptophyta; Magnoliopsida; Arecales; Arecaceae.
ACUUGCCAGAGAGUUCGGGCCUGUCGGCUGAAGCUCGGUUGGGACGUCUGAUGGAACAGAAUGGCUCUCUGUCUCUGUAAUCUAAGAGAGGCUCAGAUAUUUUCGAGGUUGUUGAUGAGUCCAUUAUUGUCGAGUGCCUGGAGCACUGAUGCUGCAGGUAGAAGUCAUCUGCUGUAGAAGCUCGGAUGGAGACUUUCUGUUGGAGAAGUCUGAUUUCAUGAGAAAUCUGAUAGAGGACUUCGGAUGGCGUUGUGGGGGUUCGUCCAUUGGAGGAGUCUUGAGGACACUGUGGAAGGUCAAAUGUUGGAGGAGUCCGGGAUACGAUUCUGCUGUAGAAGUUCAGAUGGAGUCUAGCUCUCGUAGGAGUCCGAAAGGAGGUUGCUUAUUGUACAAGCUUGAUCGAAGAUCAGUUGUCGUGGAAGCUCAGAUGGAGACUUCUUAUUAUAGAAGUCUCACUGCUGGAGAAGCUCGAUCAUUGACGAAGUCUGAAAGAAGUUCAGAGUAGAGAUCUGGUGGAGCCUAUCCAUCGUAGAAGUUCAUCUGGAAUUUGUAUGAUGUAGAAGCUUGUUUGAAGAUUUGUCUGCUGGAGAGGCCUAAUUGCAUAAGGAAUCCAGCUGAAGGUUGGCUGAUAGAAGAGUCUGGGAGGUGUUGCUGAAGUCUGGCUGACGCUAUUGAACGUUGAUGGCCAGAGAGAUACGGCAGACACUGGAGGCGAUCGACCGUUGUAGAAAUCCGACUGCUGGAGCCCGUCCAUUGUAGAAGUUCAUCCGAAAUCCAUCCGCUAUGGAAGUUCAGACGGAGUUCGAUUCUUGUAGAAGUCUGGAUGGGGAUCGCUUAUUGAAGAAGAUCGGCUGAAGUCUGCAGUAGAGAUCCGGAGUAGACCACUUGUAGUAGAAGUUCGGCUAAAAUUCGGAAGGCAGUCGACCACCGUAGAAACUUGAAUGGAGUCUGGUUACUGUAGAAGUUCUACUGCUGAAGAAGCUCGAUCAUCGAAGAAGUUCGGAGGAAGUUCAGAGUCAAGUCGAUUGUGGCUGGGAGAAGUCUGGAAGAGAUUCAGAGAAUAGUCGAUCACUGUAGAGAAUCGACUGAAAGUGAAGUUCAGAGAGCAUUUGGAGCAGUCCGAUAGAUGAAUGGAGAAGCUUAUGAUUGGAGAAGUCCGGAUGGCAUGAUAGGAGUUCUUCUGUUAGAGAAAUCUGGAGGACACCGUAGGAGGCCGACCGCUACAGGAGUCCGGAUGGUAAUAUGGAAGCUCGGACGGCCUGGGAGGUUCAGAAAGAUGCUACGUAAAGUCAGAAGCUGGAAGAGCCCUGAGAGGGUCGGCCUCUUACGAACUUCGGCUGGGGUUAUUUUAUACCCAACACUUCCUCAUGUGAUUCUCUAGGCACCAUGGAACUAAAAUGAAGAGAGGAAGAUGCGUAGAGGACUCAAGAAAGAAAAAUUACUAUAUUGUUUUCCUUUACUUCCUCUUCUUCUAACUGUUGCGGGAGAUUCCUGACUCCAAUCGGGGUGGCUGGAGAUGGUUGGAGAUGAGCGGCGCAGCGCGGCAUGCAAAAUAAGUCUCGACUAGAGUUGGUUCUUGUGGGGACCUUCCAAUGCCUAAGUUAGAAAAAUAUAAUAGAGAAGGAGAGUGAGAGAAGUAGAGGGCAUGCAUAUGUGCGUAUUUGGAGGGUCAUUUUUUAUCUUUAUUUAUAGGGAGACAAGAGCCAUAAGAGAAAAAACUAUGGAAGACCAUUCCGACCUCUUUGUCCGUACCACUCAGGAUGUCCGAAUUUAUGAAAUACAAGUAUUGUCAUGGUAUGUUGGCCACCUGAGACUUGAGUAGUUCACUCGAGCAUGGUCUAAGUAAUUAUUUCAUCUGAUUUGAGCUUUGGUAGUGGAUGUCAUCUUAUCCUGCGUGCAAUCAGCCACUCAUCAAAUGACCUGAUUGGACGUGGCUUCAUCUGAUGUGUAGCUAGCCAAUGGAGAGAUAUGGCCCCAUAUGGGGUGAAAUGAUUUGAUGUGAUGGGAGUUGACUCUCUCCACUGCAAUAGCUUGCAAGUAGUGAGGAAAGUGUAGCUAGUGGCAAGAAGCAGGAUCGACGCAGGAUCCUAUGGUCAAAGACAACAUCAGGCUUAGGUCUUUUCUUGGAUCUAUGAUUGAUGCUCGGGUGUUACCCUUAUGCGAGUGGUUAGAGGUCUACAGGUGGAGUCAUGAGGGAUAGGUAAAGCCGAAUCUAGCCAGCCAAAGUCAGGAUUAGUGGUUGAAGUUGGGACUGGCCGAACCUUACGAUGAUUGUUACGAGAGCAUCAUUAUGUAUUGAAUGACUUCCUUCAUCAUGAUUCUUUUUCAAAUUUUAGGAUGAUAUAUCUACCACUAAGAUUGUACUCAUUUACCUCUACUCGAUGCUAUAGUAGCAACCUUUGAAGGCAGGAUCGAAGAGGUCUGAGGCAAGACUCCUAUUGUCAUGUGUCUUCGGUAUGGGCAACAUAUUUUCCCUCCAACACAUGCCCCCUACUCCCAAGUUUGAAUCAUGUAGGGUUCGGAUGCAGGGACUAUGCUAAUGAGCAGUUGUAGAAGACACGCUUCUAUUAUAGUCGAGAUGACAUGCUUAUGCUUUUUUGAAGAAAGGAAAGGUUGCAUCAGAGAUCAAUCAUGACCAAGAAAAGGAGGGAGGAUUUAUGAAAUUCAGUGGAUGGUGUGCUUCAUUCCGAGUGUCGCUCAUAAAUAAGCUGACUAUCAGUUUCUGUGGGCCAAUAGGGGUGCACCAUAUGUCAGUUAUCUGACGGUUAUGAGAGAUUUGGUAUCCAGGUUGUACCAACCUUUCUGGGCCUAUAAAAAGGGUUGCAUUUCCUUUCUUGCUUUUCUUAUGCUUCCAGAGUCUUUUUUUUCUGAUCAAGUUUCUAGCUUCAUCCCAGCUCUUAGGGAAGUCCUCCUUCUAGCUGUCUUCCCUGGUUUUCUUGAGUUGUUGGGGACUUCCCCUGCUAACUUCUCUCGAUUAUCCAUCCUCACCUCCUACAUCAUCGUAGGUGGGUUUCUUUCUUCCCCUGCUGAUUCUUAGUUUUUUCCUUCUCCCUUUUUUAUUCUCUAUUAGUGUUUUUGGCUUGUUUUCCUUCUCUUCUUCCUUUAUUAAUCUUUCAAUGAUCGGCUCUAAGGGUUUUGGUGAGAGUUGGUCUUCUGGGCCCUCUUCUCCUUUGGGGGGAGACUUUAUCAGUUUUGGCAUCGAGCACGAGGGUGAACCACCUUUUGUGCCCAACACCACUGGGUCUAUAUGGAUUCAGGAGAUUUGGAUCUGAUACAGGCCCAAUAUGGAUCUCAACUUCAUUUGAGUUGGAGUCCCCAAGGCCCAUUGCCAGGGUCGGUGAUCAUCCACCUGGUAGGAUCGGCUUAUAUGAAGAAUCAUUUAAAGUCAAUCUUAGGUUGCCCAUUCAUCCCUUUAUUAUAGAAAUUUUUUAUUUUUUUAUAUUUUCUUUUGCUCCAUUAUUCCCAAUUCUUUCUAUUUUAUUAUCAACUUCAUCACUAUUUUUCUUCUGGCCAAAGUCCAACCCUUAAUUCCUUUUUUCAGAUCCUUCUAUACAAUCAAGAGAUGGACCAAAGAUUGAUGGUACAUCUCACUGCUCAGAGGGUGUUAGAAAAUAUAUUUUAAAGUCAAUCAUCAGUUUGUUGACGGUUGUGCUAUUUGAUGUAAUUGUAUAUAAAUUAAUUAAUAAAAUAUUUAUUUGAUAAUUUUCAUCAUAAGCUUGUACAUCUUCUAUUUCGAACUUCUGUGUUAUGAUGAAAGUCUUUAGAACUAUUUUAAAUCGAUAAAGGAGGAUUUAUCAUUUAGUCCUUAAAUGAGUUCACAAUCAAAUGAUAUGCUAUUACUAGGAUGAUAGAUAUAUCAAGUGUAGAUCAUUGUGUGCCAUAUAGGUUGGUUGUUCUCUUAAUCAAGGGACAUAGAGAUGCUUGUAUGGCAUGCAGGUGAAAUGUAGGAGUAUAUUUCACUGAACAUGACCAACUUCGGAGUACUCUGCUGUCAAGAGUCACUCCAAAGGGAUAUGGGUAUAAGUGUCCCUCUAACUUGAGAUCACCACAGUGACUUACAAGCAACUCACUGUGCUUUGGUGCCGGACUAUCUGAAUUUUUAAUUCAGGAUCGAAAGAUUUUUGGGCAUAGUCAAGUACUUAUGAAGUUGGUGCAUGAGUCAAAAUGAAAUUGACCACUCUAAGAGAUUGGAGAGAAUGCUUUAUGUUUCAAUUUAGUAAGACCUUGGUCAUGACAAUCCUUGUGAGGAGUCACAGGAUUUAUCAGGUUGAGACACAUAAUCGAUGUACUGUUAAGAGUUGAUAGUUUAAACUCUAAGUCAUCCUAGCAAUAAGGAUCAAAGAGAUAAAUUAUAUGGUAAUUAUAUCCAAAUAAGUUCUUGAGUGUUGCUUUGCAUACAUUCGGUCUAUCCGAACGUUGGGUAUCAUUGCUAGAUGGUUACUCUGAUUGUAUAGAAAUUAAUUUUUAUGCUAUCGAUUUAGGUUCAAACCUAUGGGUCAUACAUAUUAGAAGUUUCUCUCUGAUCACAUGGCUAAUCUAAAGAGUUUCAAUGGACGGAGUCUCUGGUGAAGAGUCCCACUGGAUGGGGACUCUGCUGAAGAGUCCUACUGGACGGAGACUCUAGAGAAGAGUCCCACUAGACUUGGACUCUAUCAUUAAUGGAGGAUUAAUUAAUGAUUAGAUUACUAAUUAGCUUUAUUUAAUUGAGCAUUAAAGUUUGGAUCAAGUUUGAUUGAAAUGGGUUCAAUCAGGUCAAGUCUGAUUAGGUUAUGAGAUGACCUAAUUAGUAAGGAAGAAAUGAUCUUGAUUUGAUCGGGUCUAUGACUCAAUUAAUUUGAUUAAAUUUAAUUAAAAUUAUAAGAGCCUAAUUAGAUUAGAUUCAUCAUAUUUUAUUUGGGUCUAAUUAGAUUUAGUUUGAAAGGAAUUCAAUUAGUUAAACCCUAGAGUCCCAAAUAAAUGGGAUUCUCUCCCUUGCGCCACCCAAAUUGUCUCACACUUUUUCUUACCACACAAAAUCAGUUUGUGUAUGAGAAAAUUAGAAUAUAACCAUUCUUUUGUCACCUAUUAAGGAUAGAAAUUGGUUGGUUUUGAUUUAAAUUCAAAAUGAUUGGAAUUUCAACCUAAAACCUUAUCCAUAUCUUUCCACAUGUUGGCUAUUUUUGAAGGGGCCCAUUGUGUGCGAGAAAAAAAAGUCUUUCUGAAUAUUUUUUAUGCUUAAUUUUCUUUGAUAAGUCUCUAUUUAAGUCAGAGAAGGGUGAGAAAAAGUUAGAAUCAAAUUAAAAUUCAAAAUGGUUUGCAUUGCAACAAUCUCCAGCUCUUAUCCUAUCUUACCUGAUUUGUGCGACAACCAUAAAAAAGCCACAAUUUUGUGCACCAACAAGAGAGAGCUUUUCACUGUGAGAUACUAGAGAGAAAGAGGAGCCAAAAUCCUUCUUUGGGGCAUGAGGUUUGGGUGGUUUUUUUUUUCCUUGGCGUGAACAAAAGAGGAGACCGUUCUCCUCUCGGGUGGGAGACCUAAAACUAUUCUAGAUUUUUGGGUGAGAAAAAAACCAAAGAGAAGAGAGUCUUCAUCUGAUCUUUUUUUCACCAUUCAGUAUUGUUGGUGUAGAAUUCCACCGACGUCGGAGAAGCUGGAGUCAAGAUGGCCGCGGUCGCCAUCGGGACCUGUAAGGGAAGUCUAAAACGGAGUUGGGGAUGCUCCGGUAAGACCCUCCGAUGCUCACGUCAGUACUCUGCUUCAACAGAAAUGGAGCACUCAAAUGAGAUUUUGAUAGAGUUUCGAGAUAGAGUUUUGAGCUUAAAGAAGAACGUAUCUGGGGGUCCCUUUUUAUAGAUGGAGAGCGUAACUGAUCGACAGCGACAUUUGUAAUCGCCUGGUAGUGGGCCGUUUGUGGCCACACGGAGUUUGUUGCGAAGAGUAGUGGCGUCAGUGGGCUGUUCAGAACCAUGUGGAGUUUAUUAUGGAGAGUGGAGUGGUGUCCAUUGUCAUGACUUGCCAGAGAGUUCGGACCUGUCGGCUGAAGCUCGGUUGGGAUGUCUGAUGAAACGGAAUGGCUCUUUGUCUCUGCAAUCUAAGAGAGGCUCGGAUGUUUUCGAGAUUGCUGACGAGUCCAUUGUUGUCGGGUGCCUAGAGUGCUGAUGCUGCAGGCGGAAGUCAUCUACUGUAGAAGCUCGAAUGGAGUCCAGCUCUCAUAGGAGUUUGAAAGGA